UACAGAGGGUGCGAGCGUUAAUCGGAAUUACUGGGCGUAAAGAGCACGUAGGUGGUUUAGUAAGCGGAAUGUGAAAGCCCAGGGCUCAACCUUGGAACUGCAUUCCGAACUGCUAGGCUAGAGUAUGGUAGAGGUAAGCGGAAUUUCCUGUGUAGCGGUGAAAUGCGUAGAUAUAGGAAGGAACAUCAGUUGCGAAGGCGGCUUACUGGACCAAUACUGACACUGAGGUGCGAAAGCGUGGGGAGCAAACAGG
This 253-nucleotide ribosomal RNA is filed under the name uncultured bacterium. RNAcentral's name for it is "partial 16S ribosomal RNA". It matches the Rfam family "Bacterial small subunit ribosomal RNA", at positions 524 to 776 of the family's 1533-position model. The record is from RNAcentral.